Molecule: transfer RNA, 63 nt
Filed under: Limnonectes fujianensis (Fujian large-headed frog)
Lineage: Eukaryota; Metazoa; Chordata; Amphibia; Anura; Dicroglossidae
Description: tRNA-Cys
Source: RNAcentral
GCCUUGGAGUGUCAUCACAUGCGGUUGCAAGCCGCGGAAAGCGGAAUAAUAUCUGCCGGGGCU